RNAcentral lists this ribosomal RNA (870 nucleotides) under Cellulomonas sp. KAR71. RNAcentral describes it as "bacterial SSU rRNA". It matches the Rfam family "Bacterial small subunit ribosomal RNA", at positions 38 to 915 of the family's 1533-position model. The record is from RNAcentral. Lineage: Bacteria; Bacillati; Actinomycetota; Actinomycetes; Micrococcales; Cellulomonadaceae.
GGCGGCGUGCUUAACACAUGCAAGUCGAACGGUGACGGAGGAGCUUGCUCCCCCUGAUCAGUGGCGAACGGGUGAGUAACACGCUGAGUAACCUGCCCCAGACUCUGGGAUAACAUCGGGAAACCGGUGCUAAUACCGGAUAUGAGACGAGACUGCAUGGUCAUCGUCUGGAAAGAUUUAUCGGUCUGGGAUGGACUCGCGGCCUAUCAGCUAGUUGGUGAGGUAAUGGCUCACCAAGGCGACGACGGGUAGCCGGCCUGAGAGGGCGACCGGCCACACUGGAACUGAGACACGGUCCAGACUCCUACGGGAGGCAGCAGUGGGGAAUAUUGCACAAUGGGCGCAAGCCUGAUGCAGCAACGCCGCGUGGGGGAUGAAGGCCUUCGGGUUGUAAACCCCUUUUAGCAGGGAAGAAGCGAAAGUGACGGUACCUGCAGAAAAAGCGCCGGCUAACUACGUGCCAGCAGCCGCGGUAAUACGUAGGGCGCAAGCGUUGUCCGGAAUUAUUGGGCGUAAAGAGCUCGUAGGCGGUUUGUCGCGUCUGCUGUGAAAGUCCGAGGCUCAACCUCGGAUCUGCAGUGGGUACGGGCAGACUAGAGUGUGGUAGGGGAGACUGGAAUUCCUGGUGUAGCGGUGGAAUGCGCAGAUAUCAGGAGGAACACCAAUGGCGAAGGCAGGUCUCUGGGCCAUAACUGACGCUGAGGAGCGAAAGCGUGGGGAGCGAACAGGAUUAGAUACCCUGGUAGUCCACGCCGUAAACGGUGGGCACUAGAUGUGGGGCUCUUUCCAUGAGUUCCGCGUCGCAGCUAACGCAUUAAGUGCCCCGCCUGGGGAGUACGGCCGCAAGGCUAAAACUCAAAGGAAUUGACC